GGAAAUGUGCCUGAAAGUUAAGGACCUCCUUGAUAGGGAGAAUAAUAAGGGCUCAAACCCCUUCAUUUCCU
This 71-nucleotide transfer RNA is filed under the name Andinobates claudiae. RNAcentral describes it as "tRNA-Ile". It matches the Rfam family "tRNA". Rfam says of the family: Transfer RNA (tRNA) molecules are approximately 80 nucleotides in length. Their secondary structure includes four short double-helical elements and three loops (D, anti-codon, and T loops). The record is from RNAcentral. Lineage: Eukaryota; Metazoa; Chordata; Amphibia; Anura; Dendrobatidae.